CACGUGAUCGCGCUGAGCCAACCGUGUACCAAGCGCGAGUGUUUAACCUGCUGCGGGGUCUUCCCCAUUCAGAGUGCAGGGAAGCCAGCCGACAGCUGUGGACAGUGCUUCCUACUGGGCCUCCGUGGCUGCCAUCGUGACUCAAUAAAUAGACCUACCUAGCGGCGCCGAACAUUAGGCAGCCGAGGACAACGCAAAGCUGUGGGGACAAAACACAAUAAUGGAAAACAAAGCCACAGCGAUGAGCGACAUCCCAAAAGAGCCAUGACAACGUGAUUGCAAACACCAUCCGGCGGAUGGACGACUUGUCUUGAGUGUCCAAAAGCUAAACAUCCUUUCAUGUAUCUGGCCUACAUUCUGCAACAUCAUCCUCAUCAACACACACUCCUCUGGAGCAAUAAACAACCACAACAUGCGGGUUAAUUAGACAGCUGGUAAUUAGAGCGGGAUGAAGGGGAUGGGACUUGGGGAGAAUUUUUGGAUGAUGAUCACAAGUUGGCCUAAAAACACUGGCGUAAUGAAGAGUAAGGAAGUGAUGUGUAUGCCAUGGAAGAAGCAGCGUGUCAGUCAUCAGAGGUGAUUAACGAGGAGGUGCACUUUGAAGUACAACGUGCAUCAAGACAUCAGCUGAGAUAUAUUUGGUCUUUGUUCGGUUUGACCUCAGGACACCGAGACAGUAACACAGCAAUGCGCCACUUAGUGAAUAUUUAUUAUGUUUCCCUCAGUGUGAGGCAACAUUUGAAUGAAGAAUGGCAUUUAGUCAACCUCCUCAUUGUUGAAAAAGCACAAAUUGUGAAGCUUUAUAAACACCAAUGCUAAAGUUCGCUUCAAUGAAAUCCAUGCAUUAUUUAAGAUAUUGAGGAAAACAAUUUUGCAACAAAACGUAAAAAGUUUUUUGAUUGGCACAUUUGCAGAACGUAAAACAAAUUAAAACAUUUUUAAUAAUAAAAAAAGAGUACCGUAUUUUCUGGAAAACAGGGCGCAC
Molecule: long non-coding RNA, 985 nt
Organism: Nerophis lumbriciformis (worm pipefish)
Lineage: Eukaryota; Metazoa; Chordata; Actinopteri; Syngnathiformes; Syngnathidae
Source: RefSeq, a predicted model, not a curated record